Molecule: ribosomal RNA, 508 nt
Filed under: uncultured bacterium
Lineage: Bacteria
Description: bacterial SSU rRNA
Rfam family: Bacterial small subunit ribosomal RNA
Source: RNAcentral
UAGUCCACGCCGUAAACGAUGUCUACUAGCCGUUGGGAGACUUGAUUUCUUAGUGGCGCAGCUAACGCACUAAGUAGACCGCCUGGGGAGUACGGCCGCAAGGUUAAAACUCAAAUGAAUUGACGGGGGCCCGCACAAGCGGUGGAGCAUGUGGUUUAAUUCGAUGCAGCGCGCAGAACCUUACCAUCCCUUGACAUCCUCAACGCGGUUACUCGAGAGAGUUUCCUUCAGUUCGGCUGGUUGAGUGACAGGUGCUGCAUGGCUGUCGUCAGCUCGUGUCGUGAGAUGUUGGGUUAAGUCCCGCAACGAGCGCAACCCUCGCCCUUAGUUGCCAGCAUUCAGUUGGGCACUCUAGGGGAACCNCCGGUGAUAAGCCGGAGGAAGGUGGGGAUGACGUCAAGUCCUCAUGGCCCUUACGGGAUGGGCUACACACGUGCUACAAUGGCAGUGACAAUGGGUUAAUCCCCAAAAACUGUCUCAGUUCGGAUUGUCCUCUGCAACUCGAGGG